AGCGCAGACGGUUUAUUAAGUCUGAUGUGAAAGCCCGGAGCUCAACUCCGGAAUGGCAUUGGAAACUGGUUAACUUGAGUGCAGUAGAGGUAAGUGGAACUCCAUGUGUAGCGGUGGAAUGCGUAGAUAUAUGGAAAAACACCAGUGGCGAAGGCGGCUUACUGGACUGCAACUGACGUUGAGGCUCGAAAGUGUGGGUAGCAAACA
RNAcentral lists this ribosomal RNA (207 nucleotides) under uncultured bacterium. RNAcentral describes it as "partial 16S ribosomal RNA". It matches the Rfam family "Bacterial small subunit ribosomal RNA", at positions 568 to 774 of the family's 1533-position model. The record is from RNAcentral.